This 253-nucleotide ribosomal RNA is filed under the name uncultured bacterium. Its description in RNAcentral is "partial 16S ribosomal RNA". It matches the Rfam family "Bacterial small subunit ribosomal RNA", at positions 524 to 776 of the family's 1533-position model. The record is from RNAcentral.
UACGUAGGGGGCAAGCGUUGUCCGGAUUUACUGGGCGUAAAGAGCGUGUAGGCGGCCAAGCAGGUCCGUUGUGAAAACUGGAGGCUUAACCUCCAGACGUCGACGGAAACCGCGUGGCUAGAGUCCGGAAGAGGAGAGUGGAAUUCCUGGUGUAGCGGUGAAAUGCGCAGAUAUCAGGAAGAACACCUGAGGUGAAGACGGGUUGCUGGGCUGACACUGACGCUGAGGCGCGAAAGCUAGGGGAGCAAGCGGG